Molecule: ribosomal RNA, 497 nt
Filed under: uncultured bacterium
Lineage: Bacteria
Description: partial 16S ribosomal RNA
Rfam family: Bacterial small subunit ribosomal RNA
Source: RNAcentral
GAUGAACGCUGGCGGCGUGCCUAACACAUGCAAGUCGAGCGACCAGACGAUGAGCUUGCUCCUCUGACGUUAGCGGCGGGCGGGCGAGUAACACGUGGAUAACCUACCUAUAAGACGGGGAUAAUUUCGGGAAACCGGAGCUAAUACUGGAUAAUAUAUUGUACCGCAUGGUUCAAUAGUGCAAGAGGGCUUUGCUGUCACUUAUAGAUGGAUCCGCGCCGCAUUAGCUAGUUGGUAAGGUAACGGCUUACCAAGGCAACGAUGCGUAGCCGACCUGAGAGGGUGAUCGGCCACACUGGAACUGAGACACGGUCCAGACUCCUACGGGAGGCAGCAGUAGGGAAUCUUCCGCAAUGGGCGAAAGCCUGACGGAGCAACGCCGCGUGAGUGAUGAAGGUCUUCGGAUCGUAAAACUCUGUUAUUAGGGAAGAACAAAUGUGUAAGUAACUAUGCACGUCUUGACGGUACCUAAUCAGAAAGCCACGGCUAACUACGUG